UGGCGAGGUAGUUUCCCGAUGACU
RNAcentral lists this non-coding RNA (24 nucleotides) under Arabidopsis thaliana (thale cress). Lineage: Eukaryota; Viridiplantae; Streptophyta; Magnoliopsida; Brassicales; Brassicaceae. The record is from RNAcentral.